CUGGGCGUAAAGGAUGCGUAGGCGGAUAUUUAAGUGAGAUGUGAAAUACCCGAGCUUAACUUGGGUGCUGCAUUUCAAACUGGAUAUCUAGAGUGCGGGAGAGGAGAAUGGAAUUCCUAGUGUAGCGGUGAAAUGCGUAGAGAUUAGGAAGAACACCAGUGGCGAAGGCGAUUCUCUGGACCGUAACUGACGCUGAGGCAUGAAAGCGUGGGUAGCAAACAGGAUUAGAUACCCUGGUAGUCCACGCCGUAAACGAUGAGUACUAGGUGUAGGGGGGUCCAACCCUCUGUGCCGCAGUUAACACAAUAAGUACUCCGCCUGGGAAGUACGAUCGCAAGAUUAAAACUCAAAGGAAUUGACGGGGGCCCGCACAAGCAGCGGAGCAUGUGGUUUAAUUCGAAGCAACGCGAAGAACCUUACCUGGACUUGACAUCCCCUGAAUAGUGCAGAGAUGCAUGAAGCCCUUCGGGGCAGGGAGACAGGUGGUGCAUGGUUGUCGUCAGCUCGUGUCGUGAGAUGUUAGGUUAAGUCCUGCAACGAGCGCAACCCCUAUUAUUAGUUGCUACCAUUAAGUUGAGCACUCUAGUGAGACUGCCCGGGUUAACCGGGAGGAAGGUGGGGAUGACGUC
Molecule: ribosomal RNA, 629 nt
Filed under: uncultured bacterium
Lineage: Bacteria
Description: bacterial SSU rRNA
Rfam family: Bacterial small subunit ribosomal RNA
Source: RNAcentral